CUGAGGAACAGGGCAUCUUUGACGGUGUCUUUAUAGCCAGGGAUGAAGACGUCUCAAGAUUUGUGGACUAUAUACACACCACAACCAAACAUGUCUCCGGAAGAGGUGUUUGUGGAGGACAGUGGUCGGCAGCCAGAGAGACCUCCCAAAAAUCAGCCGGCAAGCUGGAUGAGGAGGGACUAGAGCUUGCCGUCUGUCGACAUGGAGUGCUCCUCUGUGCUCUCAAUAUGUACAGGGGAGAAAUCUUUGCUUAUCCCCUGUACCUACAGAAAAAGCUGGCCAGUAGUAUGUUCUUUUGCAUGGAUGUGACCCGCAAAUAUUGGCCCUACCUCCAGAGAAUCACAAAAAGCUGUCCAGAGCUCCAGCAUCUUCUCGACAUGAAGCCCUUUCUCUCAGUGUUUCAUGCCAAAGCGCAUGACUUCAAAUGUGAAGUGAAAUGGAGUGGGGCAUAUCAAGAGGGA
This is a long non-coding RNA of Trematomus bernacchii (emerald rockcod), 461 nucleotides long. RefSeq lists it as uncharacterized. The transcript has 3 exons. NCBI's taxonomy places the organism in Eukaryota, Metazoa, Chordata, Actinopteri, Perciformes, Nototheniidae. The record is from RefSeq and is a predicted model, not a curated record.